This 440-nucleotide ribosomal RNA is filed under the name uncultured bacterium. RNAcentral's name for it is "partial 16S ribosomal RNA". It matches the Rfam family "Bacterial small subunit ribosomal RNA", at positions 338 to 795 of the family's 1533-position model. The record is from RNAcentral.
CCUACGGGGGGCAGCAGUGGGGAAUAUUGCACAAUGGGGGAAACCCUGAUGCAGCGACGCCGCGUGAGUGAAGAAGUAUCUCGGUACGUAAAGCUCUAUCAGCAGGGAAGAAAAUGACGGUACCUGACUAAGAAGCCCCGGCUAACUACGAGCCAGCAGCCGCGGUAAUACGUCGGGGGCAGGCGUUAUACGGAUUGACUGGGUGUAAAGGGGGCGUAGACGGCAGCACAAGUCCGGAGUGAAAGCCCGGGGCUUAACCCCGGAACUGCCUUGGAAACUGUGCGGCUGGAGUGCAGGAGGGGUAGGCGGAAUGCAUAGUGUAGCGGUGAAAUGCGUAGAUAUUAUGAGGAACACCGGUGGCGAAGGCGGCUUACUGGACUGUAACUGACGUUGAGGCUCGAAAGCGUGGGGAGCAAACAGGAUUAGAUACCCGAGUAGUC